AUACUGGCCGGAGACCGAUAGCGCACAAGUAGAGUGAUCGAAAGAUGAAAAGCACUUUGAAAAGAGAGUUAAACAGCACGUGAAAUUGUUGAAUGGGAAGCGUUUGCGACCAGACUCGCCCGCGGGGUUCAGCCGGCAUUCGUGCCGGUGUACUUCCCCGUGGGCGGGCCAGCGUCGGUUUGGGCGGCCGGUCAAAGGCCCUCGGAAUGUAUCACCUCUCGGGGUGUCUUAUAGCCGAGGGUGCAAUGCGGCCUGCCUGGACCGAGGAACGCGCUUCGGCUCGGACGCUGGCGUAAUGGUCGUAAAUGACCCGUCUUGAAACACGGACC
This 329-nucleotide ribosomal RNA is filed under the name uncultured fungus. RNAcentral's name for it is "LSU rRNA". It matches the Rfam family "Eukaryotic large subunit ribosomal RNA", at positions 320 to 667 of the family's 3401-position model. The record is from RNAcentral. Lineage: Eukaryota; Fungi.